This is a long non-coding RNA of Bombus huntii, 4628 nucleotides long. RefSeq lists it as uncharacterized. Lineage: Eukaryota; Metazoa; Arthropoda; Insecta; Hymenoptera; Apidae. The record is from RefSeq and is a predicted model, not a curated record. The transcript has 2 exons.
CAAUUUCUUAUGCUAUAAAAUAAUUCUUUCGUGGAAAUAAAAAUUAGCAUCUUAAUUUACAAAUACGUGACUUUGAGUUUAAUAAAGGAGACGCUUGUAUAGGUAUAUAUAAAUGAUUUACAAUCUUCGUUUUGGAAUAAAUAAAGGAUAGAAGUUUGCGGUUUUAGUUAGCAUCUUCCGUACCAUAUAUAUUGUUUUCAAGUUAAACGAAAUUAAGCUUCAAGGACGAUUUACAGAAAGAGAAAGUAAAAAAGGAAAACAAAGUAAAGGAAUCGGUAAAAUAAGGUACCAAUGUCGAGGAUAACGAUUGUUUAUCUUUCGAUUGUUAAACAGCUCCGACAAUGCAAACAAUUAACUUUUUUCGGCCAAGCUCUGAAAAAACAGAUGUUCGAUGAAAAGGCUAAAGUUGAGAUUCUUGGUUUUAUUCUUUUCAGGAAAUUUAUAGCGCGUUUCGCGAUGCUUCUUCACAACACGCAUUCUUAAAUGUCUCUUGACAAUGAUAUGUUUCUCAUUGCUGUUCCGAACGGGUGCGAAAAAAAGAAUACGCAGUCGCUUAACAAAUAUUUACACUUUAAUCGUCCUUCUUCAUUCCAGUCACAAUCACAAUAUUAUCUUUCCAAAAAAAAAAAAAAAAAAAAAAGAAAAAAAAAGAGGAAUCGUACACUGUUCUCACAUAGUUCACACCGUCUCCCAUACAUACGUAUCUCUUAUUUAUUUUAAACCAUUCGCAAUCAAAGAACGAAUCAUUCUUAUCAACAAAUGUAACUAUUUUGUUAUAUUGUUACGAAGCAAAUGUAUAAAUCAUUUAGGAUUCAUUCAAGUCGAAGCGUUAUUUCGCUUGUUCGAAACGAAACCGUGGUAAUUUAUUUCGUGUAUUUUGACGGAAUAUUCCAUUGUUGUGAUGUAGCAAACACGUCGGUCUAUUCUAUCAUGCGAAUGGCUUAAAACGGACAGAUGUUCCAUGAUCAUUCCAAUAUUUUGUCUCUCGAGUCGAAAAGCUUCGUAUCGCAUUUGCGACGUCAAGGAAAAAUUGUUUUGCAAUCCUUGUAAAACAGAUAACGGCUCGCUAAUUUCUCGGCUGUAUAACAGAGGAGAAAAAGAGAGUGUGGGAGAGAGAAAGAGAAAGAGAAAGUAUGAAAUCGCGGAAGCAAAUGUCCGCAAUCUUCUGGAACAAAAUUACGUAACGUGUGACCUUUGUAUCUGAUGGAACCGCGAUCGUCGCGGGAUCGUUCGCCAAAACAGAGGCGUAACCAUGUCACUGCGUACACUAGAAGGCACGAUCGAACUUUCUUCGUGAGAUUUUCAUGCGAAUGCUCUCUUUCUCUUUCUCUCUCUCUCUCUCUCUCUGAAGAAUUGGCAUCGACGUGAUAUAAUGGUUCAGAGAACGUUCGCGACGAACGCAAGAUCUCUUCGAUUUGGACUUCGUACAUACGUUUCAAAUACGCCGCACGAAAUAAUCGUAGGCUGAUUCCACGUGGAAUUUUAUUUUAUUUUAUUGCUGUUUAUUAAGGCGUUCAGUGGCGCGCGAGCUAACAACGAAAUAUGAUCAACAUUGAAGAUAAAACUUUCUCUCGGCAAACAAGACACCUUUUAAUCAGUUUUUCGAAUUAGCUACGAUGACUCACGAAACCAUACAGGUAUUUAAACAUUUAUCACGUGUGUUAUACAAGAUAUGUAUUUUGAAAUUUCAUUAACACCGUAAACAUUUCAGCUGUGUGCUUGCAGUUUUCUAUAUACUUUAGCAUUUAUUUCAGGCUUUAUCAACAAAGUCAUAAUAGUCGUGUCUCGUUACCGUGUCGAUGAAGUUUCAAAAAGUAUAAUAUACUUAUAAUGCGUGUAAUACAUUAUCCAUCAAAGUUUUCCGUACGAAGUGUUCAAAGGCUUUCCUGAAUCACUGUACGUUUAAAAAGCAAAAAUUCGGUACACUGUGAUUUUAAUGAAAUAUUCUAAUGUAGGUAUUUAACUUUCUCCUAACGUUCUGUCGAAACUUUCAAUUUUCCCGCAACACGAAGCGUGUUAAAAUCGCACGAAAUCAUCUAAAAAGCCUAUGUAUAUAUUCUAUUAAAACAACACUGUUCUUCUGUGUAGUACACGUGUUUACAUUUUUAUCGGUAACACGUAUGCGAAUCAAUCGAAGCUUUCAAAAUCUCAAUUCCAAACACUUCCAGCAGAAAUGAAUAAUUGUUAAUAUCUUCCAGUUUGCGGGGUUUGCGCGAUCGUGUUAUGUGAAAACCGCGGUAAAGAACACGGAAAUCGUUAUAAGGCUGUAAUUACGUUCGCGUUGGAUGCUUGAAUAUGUCAUCGUUAAUGGUUGGUCGUUACAUAGUCUAACGAACAACUAAUUACAAUUCUUACGGUCUAAAUUUGUCCGAAAUUAGCUUAGCAUCGAUAUCUAGUUAGCUACGAAUCGAGAAAUUCUCUGAAUUUUUGCACGCUCAGAUUACAGAAAAUCGUGUAUCGACAAGUAUAUCCAUUUAGGCAUUAUCGGCGUCAUGUUAUAGUAAGGGCAGUAAAAUAUUGCUUUUUCGAUCUAUAUCGCGUGGCACACGACUGUUAUUGCAUUUUUCUCAUCGUCCUUGAUCAUUCUUCCGCAAGCUCUGUUAUAUAUAUUUCAUCGAUUUUAAUUGUUGACCUUAAAACUGGUUUUCCUAGCUGAUUUAUAAUUUAGGAUACAACACAAAAAAACGCGAUAUACCGGGUAUGAAAAAUACAUCUCGCAUCUCUUUAAUCUCAUUUUUCGUUACUUUUCUCUCGAUGGAACGAAGCUUCCUUAACAUUGCGUGAAUGGUAUUGCCGCAUUGUAAAGUUGAUACAAUCAAAAGCAUAGAACGGUGCUGACACAUAGAAGAUGUAUUAAAUAAAAACUCACUAAUCGUAAAUAUCGAUAAAUUGUCUGUGCAAAAUACAAUUCUCAUCGAUCCUUCGCAUUCCAGCAUUCUCUAUGUAUUACGAAGGAAAAGAAAUCAUCAGAGAUCGUUCAUCACGAAAAAAUCAUUGUUCCAUCGGUUGUUUUUCGUAGCGAGAGAACAGAACGCAAAAUGAUCGGGAGCACAAAGAAAAAGGCACGUUGUAGAAACUUUGGCAGUGCGUCGAACGAACGUUCCGUCGUUUCCAACAUGCUGAGUAGAUUGACUAGCGCUGAUUUUCGACGAUAACAGGAAAGGUGAUUUUUAAAAGAUGGGAGCAUGGAGGCAAAAAUAUAAGAAAAAAAACGAACAAAAUACUUUGAAACGUAUUGUACUUAACAAUAUACUUGAAACUAAAAAAAAAAUUGACUGGGCAGUGUGAACAUAAACGUUGGACUACCAAAGAAUUAACCUUCGUAUCUUCGUCAAACUUACCCUAACAAUACUUGAAUUAUAUCUCAGAAUUAACAAAAGUCUUAAAUUCCACGUCGAAAAUAGCUUUAUAUAAUCACUUUACAUAAGCAUGAUUGUAUAAAUUAGAGGACAGAAGGUUAAAUCUUUUUUUCAGCACCAAUCAAACCUCCGUUAUUCGUACAAUUAUUCAUACAAUUAAACGAUUUGUCUUUACGUCUCUCUCUCUCUCUCUCUCUCUCCCUCUCCAACGUUUCUUAGUUGCGCAAUCUUCUUCAAUUCACGCAAUUUCUUUCCUUUCUUUUUGUCAUUAUUAUUCUUUUCUCGCCUAUAUCGUCUAACGCUUAACGAGUAGAAAGAUAAUCGUUUUGAUCGAUGAUUCUUCGAGACAAAAGUAUCUGACCGAUGUGACCACUUCGAUUCUCGCCAUCGGACACUGUUAACGUCGCGUGUGUAUACGUGGACUGCACUAUACUAACAGAUGCAGUCAUCGACGAAGUUAAUCGAUGAGUACGUUGCCAUCGAUCGAGCUCCAAACGAAUUACGAUUCCACGACGCGAAUAUAAUGUGCGUAAUGUGUGUCUUACUAUAUACAUAUGUACAUGUGUGUAUAAACGGUGACCUCAAGAAAAGUGUCUCUCCCGAAACACGACUGAUGAUUCAAGAAAGAAAACGAUCGGUAUAUAUUCGGUACGACCUCCUUCUAUUCAUCGAUCAUCCGAGGUUAAGCUUACGUAAUCGAGCAGCUUCUACACACACAUUAUUUGGACGUCAUUCAAACGGUACAAAUGAAAAAUAAAUCAAUUGUUCUCGGUAUACAAAAAGAUGCAUGAAAAUAUAACAAAAUUAAUCGAUCGUGAACGAAUCCCCGUGAUGAUCCCCGUGAUGAUCCCCGUUGUACUUCUGCAAGUAAUGGCUGAGAAAAUCGGAGGAACAUUCUUCAUACAGGAUGCACAGGUACUUUGCCUCUCGAUGCGCUUAAAUAAAUAUUAUGCUAUUUACAAAGCGAUGAAUAAUAUUGCUUUUCAUACCACGUGACUUUCUAGCAUGAAAACGGUACCAUGAGCGUAAUGAAACGAUCCUUAUGAAUAUAUCGAGCUCCAAUGACGAUUAACGGAUUCGCACGUCUUAAGAAAGUUCUUCUUCAAAAUGUUUUGAAUAAAUGUUCGAAUAUCGCAACGAAAAAAUGUCGGAUGAUAUAUGUACAAGAAGUUGAGAUCGAUGUACCGAUACGAGGUCGAAAACGUUUUUCUGAUAUUUUGGCGCGAGUCAUAAUAUACAUAAAUUAAACGGUAAAAAAAAAAAAAAGAA